UCUGGUAGCUCAGUUGGUAAAGAAUCUGCCUGCAAUGCAGGAGACCCUGGUUUGAUUCCUGGGUCAGAA
RNAcentral lists this transfer RNA (69 nucleotides) under Odocoileus virginianus texanus. It matches the Rfam family "tRNA". From Rfam's summary of the family: Transfer RNA (tRNA) molecules are approximately 80 nucleotides in length. Their secondary structure includes four short double-helical elements and three loops (D, anti-codon, and T loops). Further hydrogen bonds mediate the characteristic L-shaped molecular structure. tRNAs have two regions of fundamental functional importance: the anti-codon, which is responsible for specific mRNA codon recognition, and the 3' end, to which the tRNAs corresponding amino acid is attached (by aminoacyl-tRNA synthetases). tRNAs cope with the degeneracy of the genetic code in two manners: having more than one tRNA (with a specific anti-codon) for a particular amino acid; and 'wobble' base-pairing, i.e. permitting non-standard base-pairing at the 3rd anti-codon position. The record is from Rfam by way of RNAcentral. RNAcentral also lists the same sequence under 1 other name. Lineage: Eukaryota; Metazoa; Chordata; Mammalia; Artiodactyla; Cervidae.